AACCAGCACCUCAAGUGGUCAGGAUGAUUAUUGGGCCUAAAGCAUCCGUAGCCUGUUCUGUAAGUUUUCGGUUAAAUCUAUGCGCUCAACGUAUAGGCUGCCGAAAAUACUGCAGAACUAGGGAGUGGGAGAGGUAGACGGUACUCGGUAGGAAGGGGUAAAAUCCUUUGAUCUAUUGAUGACCACCUGUGGCGAAGGCGGUCUACCAGAACACGUUCGACGGUGAGGUACGAAAGCGUGGGUAGCAAACAGG
This 253-nucleotide ribosomal RNA is filed under the name uncultured archaeon. RNAcentral's name for it is "partial 16S ribosomal RNA". It matches the Rfam family "Archaeal small subunit ribosomal RNA", at positions 474 to 727 of the family's 1478-position model. The record is from RNAcentral.